UACAUAGACUGCAAGCGUUAUUCGGAUUCACUGGGCGUAAAGGGUGCGCAGGCGGCCAAGUGUGUGAGGCGUGAAAGCCCGGGGCUUAACCCCGGAAUUGCACCUCAAACUACAUGGCUAGAGCAUUGGAGAGGGUAGCGGAAUUCACGGUGUAGCAGUGAAAUGCGUAGAUAUCGUGAGGAACACCAGAGGCGAAGGCGGCUACCUGGACAAUUGCUGACGCUCAGGCACGAAAGCGUGGGGAGCAAACAGG
This 253-nucleotide ribosomal RNA is filed under the name uncultured bacterium. RNAcentral's name for it is "partial 16S ribosomal RNA". It matches the Rfam family "Bacterial small subunit ribosomal RNA", at positions 524 to 776 of the family's 1533-position model. The record is from RNAcentral.